AACGAACGCUGGAGGCGUGCUUAACACAUGCAAGUCGCACGAGAAAGUCCUUCGGGAUGAGUAGAGUGGCGCACGGGUGAGUAAUACAUAGGAACGUACCUUUAGGUGGGGGAUAACGACGGGAAACUGUCGCUAAUACCGCAUAACCUUGAAAAAGUAAAGAUGGCCUCUGCUUGCAAGCUAUCGCCAAAAGAGCGGCCUGUGUCCCAUUAGCUAGUUGGUAGGGUAAUGGCCUACCAAGGCGACGAUGGGUAGCUGGUCUGAGAGGAUGAUCAGCCACACUGGAACUGAGACACGGUCCAGACUCCUACGGGUGGCUG
This 320-nucleotide ribosomal RNA is filed under the name uncultured Pseudomonadota bacterium. Its description in RNAcentral is "bacterial SSU rRNA". It matches the Rfam family "Bacterial small subunit ribosomal RNA", at positions 29 to 351 of the family's 1533-position model. The record is from RNAcentral. Lineage: Bacteria; Pseudomonadati; Pseudomonadota.